This 253-nucleotide ribosomal RNA is filed under the name uncultured bacterium. RNAcentral's name for it is "partial 16S ribosomal RNA". It matches the Rfam family "Bacterial small subunit ribosomal RNA", at positions 524 to 776 of the family's 1533-position model. The record is from RNAcentral.
UACGGGGGGGGCAAGCGUUGUUCGGAAUUACUGGGCGUAAAGGGCUCGUAGGUGGCCAACUAAGUCAGACGUGAAAUCCCUCAGCUUAACUGGGGAACUGCGUCUGAUACUGGAUGGCUUGAGUUCGGGAGAGGGAUGUGGAAUUCCAGGUGUAGCGGUGAAAUGCGUAGAUAUCUGGAGGAACACCGGUGGCGAAGGCGGCAUCCUGGACCGACACUGACGCUGAUGAGCGAAAGCCAGGGGAGCAAACGGG